CAGAAAAUAGUUUAAAAAAAAUAUUGGCUUUGGGGGCUAAAGUUAAAUAAUUAUUUUUUUCUGA
RNAcentral lists this transfer RNA (64 nucleotides) under Gastroptychus investigatoris. Its description in RNAcentral is "tRNA-Pro". The record is from RNAcentral. Lineage: Eukaryota; Metazoa; Arthropoda; Malacostraca; Decapoda; Chirostylidae.